This 230-nucleotide ribosomal RNA is filed under the name uncultured bacterium. RNAcentral describes it as "partial 16S ribosomal RNA". It matches the Rfam family "Bacterial small subunit ribosomal RNA", at positions 88 to 334 of the family's 1533-position model. The record is from RNAcentral.
GGGAUCAGUGGCGGACGGGUGAGUAACACGUGGGAAUGUGCCUUUAGGUUCGGAAUAACUCAGGGAAACUUGAGCUAAUACCGGAUAAGCCCCCUUGGGGGAAAGAUUUAUCGCCUUUAGAGCAGCCCGCGUCUGAUUAGCUUGUUGGUGAGGUAAAGGCUCACCAAGGCGACGACCAGUAGCUGGUCUGAGAGGAUGGCCAGCCACACUGGGACUGAGACACGGCCCAG